GUGGGGAAUAUUGGACAAUGGGGGGAACCCUGAUCCAGCCAUGCCGCGUGUGUGAAGAAGGCCUUUUGGUUGUAAAGCACUUUAAGCGAGGAGGAGGCUACCGAGAUUAAUACUCUUGGAUAGUGGACGUUACUCGCAGAAUAAGCACCGGCUAACUCUGUGCCAGCAGCCGCGGUAAUACAGAGGGUGCAAGCGUUAAUCGGAUUUACUGGGCGUAAAGCGCGCGUAGGUGGCCAAUUAAGUCAAAUGUGAAAUCCCCGAGCUUAACUUGGGAAUUGCAUUCGAUACUGGUUGGCUAGAGUAUGGGAGAGGAUGGUAGAAUUCCAGGUGUAGCGGUGAAAUGCGUAGAGAUCUGGAGGAAUACCGAUGGCGAAGGCAGCCAUCUGGCCUAAUACUGACACUGAGGUGCGAAAGCAUGGGGAGCAAAUGGGAUUAGAUACCCGGGUAGUCC
Molecule: ribosomal RNA, 451 nt
Filed under: uncultured bacterium
Lineage: Bacteria
Description: partial 16S ribosomal RNA
Rfam family: Bacterial small subunit ribosomal RNA
Source: RNAcentral